UACAGACGACGGAUUACGACUCCCUCGGCUGAGUCGACGUCUCCUCCGUAUCUUCAUUUGUUAUCGUUACCUUCGCGAAGGUCUUUUCGUUAAAGCUUCGAAAAGCGACGAUGGGUUUUGUUCAGCUCCUUCGAUCACUGAAUCAGACGAGAAGCCAAAACCCAUUUACUGGAAAAGUCACGAAUCCAACACUCUCUCCUUCACACCUCCGAGGUCAUUUAUCAGAUUAAGCUACCAGGACCUGCAAUACUAGGAGAGGUAAUUUCAAUUGUUCAAUUUGUAUUUGUCAUCGUGGGUUAUGAUUGUUUAGUUGGUAAUCUGAUUCAUUAUCUUUGACACACUGAUACGUCCUUGAAUGUGGUCUAGUUCUGUUGCCUGUUAACAAGAGAGGACUGUUACAUUCCCCAAAACCUGAUCUCUGUCAGAAAGUAUCAAGCUUUGAGCUUGAUGAUUCUCUAGUUCAUUGUGUUCUUCCAAUAUUUGAGGUAGAAGAUGGAGCAGUUCAAAGAGAGGAAGUUCGCAGAGAAUGUGGUAAAGGUCAAGAUGAGUGUAAAGUCAUCAGUCAUCAGUCACGGACUUGUGUAGUAAUCACUUGUGCAAUGCUUACGUACUAACUCUUGUAAUCUUGUAUUCUUGCAAACUCUUGUAGUCAUCAGUCACGAGUUGUAAAGCUUUGUGUCUAUAUAAACUUGUGAACUCUUGUAGUCUUGUGAACUCUUGUAGUCUUGUCUAUAUAAACUUUGUAUACCAAACUUUUAUUCACAACACAACACUCUUCUUCAUUCA
Molecule: long non-coding RNA, 786 nt
Organism: Brassica oleracea var. oleracea
Lineage: Eukaryota; Viridiplantae; Streptophyta; Magnoliopsida; Brassicales; Brassicaceae
Exons: 4
Source: RefSeq, a predicted model, not a curated record